This 1064-nucleotide long non-coding RNA is filed under the name Salmo trutta (river trout). Its description in RNAcentral is "lncRNA (ENSSTUG00000005018.1)". Lineage: Eukaryota; Metazoa; Chordata; Actinopteri; Salmoniformes; Salmonidae. The record is from RNAcentral.
UUAGCGACAUGUUUGCUUUUACGUUUCAUUUCUUCAGUCCCAAGAGCAUAUAGAGUAACACACACGUAUUACAAUGUUUGUGUUUUUAUGGUCCGAUCACUUUUGGAUGGUUAUGGUAUUUGGAUGAUGUUGCAGUAAGCGUGUCAUUUUUUAGUCCUACAUUCAUCCCAUGGCCUUGUUUUAUUUUUGUCUGAUAUUUUCAAAUUCAAUAAGUAGCAUAAAUACCCUCUUCGUCUAUUUGGUGAAUAAUGUAGGCGUGUAAUUUAUUGUUUUGUAAGCGUUUUCUUUUCUUUGUGUGUCAUCCCAAAUAUCACCCGUUUUAUAUGUUCUCCAUAAAGUGGUGCUUGCGCGUGGGGUGCAGAAGCACAGAGGUCGUUACCCAUUCAGGUGCAAAGGUGCGCUGUUCCCGGAUUAGCUCGCCCACGGUGGCAAGAGGUGAACCUUUGACGCGGGACCUGAGGGCAUAUUGUACAUUUACAGGCUAAAUGGACAUUUAAAUAUUGACAUUGUUAUUAGGGCCUCCGUGAUAUUUAUAAUAUGCAUAAUGUAGCCUAGAUAAUACCAAUAACAAACAGGUCUAUGCUUGCUGCUACUACCAGUAUCCUUGCUAAUUACAGCUACAGAAGAGGUUUGACCAAAUUGAUGUUAAAGACGUGCUACUCCCUCUCCGGAUUUUGGAAAUGUGCAUUUAGACUACUGUUUUGAGGAUUGUUUUGUUUUUUCUAAUGACGAAAAGGUUAUUCUGAAACGUGUGCCCUUGUAAAGGUAUUUGAAGGAAUUCACGCUCCACGUGACGUAUACCUGAAGACAACAGCCACUGGUUGGAAGGCACCUGAUGGUCCAAGUCGUUAUGUCUUUACCUCCACCUCUCCAACCCGGAAGGUCACCUGGGAGAAAAGAGGGCACAGCGGGGAGAUCGAAUGAGGUGGCGGUAGAGGUGCCCUGCAGGUGUACCUAUCCUUUCCUCCCCUCCUCCUCCCACAGCCAGAGCUCACCAUGACGCCCCAGCCAAAGAGGCCUGCCCUCAGGUGAGUCUCCCAGCAGUGCACCAAAACCCACCCUCU